Molecule: microRNA, 22 nt
Filed under: Eisenia fetida (common brandling worm)
Lineage: Eukaryota; Metazoa; Annelida; Clitellata; Crassiclitellata; Lumbricidae
Description: Efe-Mir-750-P1_5p* (star (passenger))
Source: RNAcentral
AGCUGGUGGAAUAGAUCUCGGC